This 301-nucleotide ribosomal RNA is filed under the name uncultured bacterium. RNAcentral describes it as "partial 16S ribosomal RNA". It matches the Rfam family "Bacterial small subunit ribosomal RNA", at positions 509 to 809 of the family's 1533-position model. The record is from RNAcentral.
CAGUCGCCACGGUAAAACGUAGGUGGCAAGCGUCGUCCGGAAUUAUUGGGCGUAAAGGGCUCGCAGGCGGUUUCUUAAGUCUGAUGUGAAAGCCCCCGGCUCAACCGGGGAGGGUCAUUGGAAACUGGGAAACUUGAGUGCAGAAGAGGAGAGUGGAAUUCCACGUGUAGCGGUGAAAUGCGUAGAGAUGUGGAGGAACACCAGUGGCGAAGGCGACUCUCUGGUCUGUAACUGACGCUGAGGAGCGAAAGCGUGGGGAGCGAACAGGAUUAGAUACCCCGGUAGUCCCUGUCUCUUAUAA